CCCACACGGUUCUCGUCCACCUCUCUCGCUGCGUGUUUGUGCUAGUCACGGAAAUACGUAUACUGUUUGAUCGGCUGUGGUAGAAACGCGACUAAAAAUCGCGUGAAAAUUUUAUGCUUGGAGAAAAAUAUUAGUCUUACUGAACAUUCCUCCUCCGGAACCAAUUAAUAACUGCAGCCGUAUCAGUGA
Molecule: long non-coding RNA, 189 nt
Organism: Leopardus geoffroyi (Geoffroy's cat)
Lineage: Eukaryota; Metazoa; Chordata; Mammalia; Carnivora; Felidae
Exons: 2
Source: RefSeq, a predicted model, not a curated record